Molecule: non-coding RNA, 135 nt
Organism: Hordeum vulgare subsp. vulgare (domesticated barley)
Lineage: Eukaryota; Viridiplantae; Streptophyta; Magnoliopsida; Poales; Poaceae
Source: Rfam
CAUGUAUUCCCUCCGUCUUAAAAUUAUUGUCUUAAAUUUGUCUAGAUAUAAAUGUAUAUAGUCAUGUUUUAAUAUCUUAAUACAUUAUUUUUAGACAAAUCUAAAACAAGAAUUUUAAGACGAAGGGAGUAGAAU